Molecule: ribosomal RNA, 478 nt
Filed under: uncultured bacterium
Lineage: Bacteria
Description: partial 16S ribosomal RNA
Rfam family: Bacterial small subunit ribosomal RNA
Source: RNAcentral
GACGAACGCUGGUGGCGUGCUUAACACAUGCAAGUCGAACGGGAUUUCGUAAACAGAAUCCUCGUUGGUAGAUUACUAAUGAGAUUGUCGAACGGGUGAGUAACUCGUUAGCAACCUUCCUUUGACAGUGGGAUAGCCUCGUGAAACCGGGAUUAAUACCGCAUAAAAUCGUAGAAACACAUGUUUUAACGUUCAAAGAUUUAUCGGUCAUAGAUGGGCUCGCUUCUGAUUAGCUAGUUGGUGAGAUAACAGCCCACCAAGGCGACGAUCAGUAGCCGGUCAGAGAGGAAGAACGGCCACAUUGGAACUGAGACACGGUCCAAACUCCUACGGGAGGCAGCAGUGGGGAAUAUUGCACAAUGGGGGAAACCAUGAUGAAGCGACGCCGCGUGAACGAAGAAGGUAUUCGUAUCGUAAAGUUCUGUCCUAUGGGAAGAUAAUGACAGUACCAUAGAAGAAAGCACCGGCUAAAUACGUG